UUGGUGGGGUAUCCUGGCAAGGUCGCCAUG
RNAcentral lists this small RNA (30 nucleotides) under Bombyx mori (domestic silkworm). RNAcentral's name for it is "ovarian small RNA-38047". The record is from RNAcentral. Lineage: Eukaryota; Metazoa; Arthropoda; Insecta; Lepidoptera; Bombycidae.